CAGUCGCCGCGGGAAUACAGAGGGUGCGAGCGUUAAUCGGAUUUACUGGGCGUAAAGCGUGCGUAGGCGGAUUCUUAAGUCGGAUGUGAAAUCCCUGAGCUUAACUUAGGAAUUGCAUUCGAUACUGGGAAGCUAGAGUAUGGGAGAGGAUGGUAGAAUUCCAGGUGUAGCGGUGAAAUGCGUAGAGAUCUGGAGGAAUACCGAUGGCGAAGGCAGCCAUCUGGCCUAAUACUGACGCUGAGGUACGAAAGCAUGGGGAGCAAACAGGAUUAGAUACCCCGGUAGUCCCUGUCUCUUAUAC
RNAcentral lists this ribosomal RNA (301 nucleotides) under uncultured bacterium. Its description in RNAcentral is "partial 16S ribosomal RNA". It matches the Rfam family "Bacterial small subunit ribosomal RNA", at positions 509 to 807 of the family's 1533-position model. The record is from RNAcentral.